UUGAUUACCCUCUUUGGAACCCGGAAGUGCUAUUGAAAAAAAAAGAAGGAAAAGGAAAAGAAGAGAAAAAAAAAAGAAAAGAAAAAGGAAGAAGAAAAAAAAGGGAAAGAAAAAAAGAAAAGAAACAGAAAAGAAAAGAAAGUGAAAAAGAAAAGAAAAAAAGAAAAGAAAAGAAAAGAAAAGAAAAACAAAACCGAAACAGAAAAAAAUAAAAUUAUUUUCCUGAACUACGUCUGACUUGAUUCCGAAAUGAUACGUAGGCAGCCUAUUUCCGUGGUUCAGUCACACUAAAACAAAAAUCCAAAGUUCCCAAAAAGUGAAUCUGAGGAAGAUGAUAUAAUGGUUCGGCCAUGAAGUAUCCGAAAUGGUUCCAGAGCCAAGUCCUUCUGAUCAGUUGGCAAAGACAGAAAAAUAAAUAUGCUAUUGAUGGAAUCUGAUACAAGUCAAAUUGAGAGAAAUAAAAUGAGAGAGUCUUAUCGGUGAAAACCUUCGGGCACCAUAAGGCG
Molecule: long non-coding RNA, 506 nt
Filed under: Nicotiana benthamiana
Lineage: Eukaryota; Viridiplantae; Streptophyta; Magnoliopsida; Solanales; Solanaceae
Description: long non-coding RNA (NBEN_LNC002322)
Source: RNAcentral